This 249-nucleotide unclassified non-coding RNA is filed under the name Hevea brasiliensis (rubber tree). The record is from RNAcentral. Lineage: Eukaryota; Viridiplantae; Streptophyta; Magnoliopsida; Malpighiales; Euphorbiaceae.
CAGGAUUAGUAGACUGGAAGUCUGGGUCCUCUGAAUCAUCAUCAACACACCUUGCCAUGCCAAAAUUCCCAAUUUUUGCGUUGAAUUCUUCAUCUAAGAAGAUGUUUCGGCUCUUCACAUUUCUGUGAAGAUAGCUUGGCUUCAUGAUAUGAUGCAUGUACCGUAAGGCCAUUGCUACUUCAAGACAUAUCUUCAGCCUCUGAUUCCAUGUCAAGAAACAAUCGCAGGAGGCUAUGAACUGGUUCUUCA